GAUCAGGGAAGCGAGGGGAUACAAUUACAUGGACUUACUUGAUUUGUGCCCAGAGAAAGUUGCUAACUAUGAAGAGAAGCUGAAGAACUUCUAUACAGAGCACAUUCAUGCUGAUGAGGAGAUACGCUACUGCUUACAGGGGAGUGGAUAUUUUGAUGUUCGAGACAAGGAUGAUCGUUGGAUCCGAAUCUGGAUCAAGGCAGGGGAUCUUAUU
RNAcentral lists this unclassified non-coding RNA (214 nucleotides) under Hevea brasiliensis (rubber tree). The record is from RNAcentral. Lineage: Eukaryota; Viridiplantae; Streptophyta; Magnoliopsida; Malpighiales; Euphorbiaceae.